This 495-nucleotide ribosomal RNA is filed under the name Staphylococcus hominis. RNAcentral describes it as "bacterial SSU rRNA". It matches the Rfam family "Bacterial small subunit ribosomal RNA", at positions 27 to 504 of the family's 1533-position model. Lineage: Bacteria; Bacillati; Bacillota; Bacilli; Caryophanales; Staphylococcaceae. The record is from RNAcentral.
GGAUGAACGCUGGCGGCGUGCCUAAUACAUGCAAGUCGAGCGAACAGACGAGGAGCUUGCUCCUUUGACGUUAGCGGCGGACGGGUGAGUAACACGUGGGUAACCUACCUAUAAGACUGGGAUAACUUCGGGAAACCGGAGCUAAUACCGGAUAAUAUUUCGAACCGCAUGGUUCGAUAGUGAAAGAUGGCUCUGCUAUCACUUAUAGAUGGACCUGCGCCGUAUUAGCUAGUUGGUAAGGUAACGGCUUACCAAGGCAACGAUACGUAGCCGACCUGAGAGGGUGAUCGGCCACACUGGAACUGAGACACGGUCCAGACUCCUACGGGAGGCAGCAGUAGGGAAUCUUCCGCAAUGGGCGAAAGCCUGACGGAGCAACGCCGCGUGAGUGAUGAAGGUCUUCGGAUCGUAAAACUCUGUUAUUAGGGAAGAACAAACGUGUAAGUAACUGUGCACGUCUUGACGGUACCUAAUCAGAAAGCCACGGCUAACUAC